UGAACGCUGGCGGUAGGCCUAACACAUGCAAGUCGAACGGCAGCACAGCAAGAGCUUGCUCUUACGGGUGGCGAGUGGCGGACGGGUGAGGAAUACAUCGGAAUCUACUUUUUCGUGGGGGAUAACGUAGGGAAACUUACGCUAAUACCGCAUACGACCUACGGGUGAAAGCAGGGGAUCUUCGGACCUUGCGCGAUUGAAUGAGCCGAUGUCGGAUUAGCUAGUUGGCGGGGUAAAGGCCCACCAAGGCGACGAUCCGUAGCUGGUCUGAGAGGAUGAUCAGCCACACUGGAACUGAGACACGGUCCAGACUCCUACGGGAGGCAGCAGUGGGGAAUAUUGGACAAUGGGCGCAAGCCUGAUCCAGCCAUACCGCGUGGGUGAAGAAGGCCUUCGGGUUGUAAAGCCCUUUUGUUGGGAAAGAAAAGCAGCAGGUUAAUACCCCGCUGUUCUGACGGUACCCAAAGAAUAAGCACCGGCUAACUUCGUG
RNAcentral lists this ribosomal RNA (490 nucleotides) under uncultured bacterium. RNAcentral describes it as "partial 16S ribosomal RNA". It matches the Rfam family "Bacterial small subunit ribosomal RNA", at positions 30 to 507 of the family's 1533-position model. The record is from RNAcentral.